Molecule: long non-coding RNA, 330 nt
Filed under: Serinus canaria (Common canary)
Lineage: Eukaryota; Metazoa; Chordata; Aves; Passeriformes; Fringillidae
Description: lncRNA (ENSSCAG00000002223.1)
Source: RNAcentral
AGAUAUUAACCAGCCUGGGGGCUGGGAGAAGUGGGAUUUUUCUUCACUGUUGUGUUCCUUCUCACUUCAGAAAAAUCAACCAAACUGAAGAUGUGCUGACCUUUUGAGACUGAACUAGAAGACCCCUUGACACAAAAUCCUGUAGAAUAUUCAGGUGACAUACUGGAUUUCAGUGCAGCUACUUUCAUUAGUGUUUAGAACUUUGUACACAAUCCUGAAAUGGCAGCCAGGGAGCUCAGCCAACACCACCCAGGGCAGCCUGCCCACCCCACUCCUGGGGCAGGAGCUGAGCAGAGGGAGCUGUGCCAGUGCCCCAGGGCUGCAGGAAGG